GACGAACGCUUGCGGCGUGCCUAAGAAAUGCAAGUCGAGCGGGGAUGCUUUGCAUUGGGUUGAUGAGGCGGGUUGAUGGUUGAUAGUUGAUGGUUGAUGGUUAAAUGCCUCACGGUGUUUUCCAACAACCAUACACCAUACACCAUCAACCAAAAAACCAUCAACCGAAUGCAGAGCAUUCUAGCGGCGAACGGUCGCGUAACACGUAAGCAACCUGCCNCAAAGACCGGGACAACAUCUCGAAAGGGGUGCUAAUACCGGAUGUGGCCACCUGAUGGCAUCUUCGGGUGAUUAAACCGAGCAAUCGGCUUUGAGAGGGGCUUGCGGCCUAUCAGCUAGUUGGUGGGUAACGGCCUACCAAGGCGACGACGGGUAGCUGGUCUGAGAGGACGAUCAGCCGGACUGGGACUGAGAUACGGCCCAGACUCCGUACGGGGGCAGCAAUUAGGAAUCUUG
This 456-nucleotide ribosomal RNA is filed under the name uncultured bacterium. RNAcentral's name for it is "bacterial SSU rRNA". It matches the Rfam family "Bacterial small subunit ribosomal RNA", at positions 28 to 366 of the family's 1533-position model. The record is from RNAcentral.